This 433-nucleotide ribosomal RNA is filed under the name uncultured bacterium. Its description in RNAcentral is "bacterial SSU rRNA". It matches the Rfam family "Bacterial small subunit ribosomal RNA", at positions 29 to 507 of the family's 1533-position model. The record is from RNAcentral.
AACGAACGCUGGCGGCAGGCCUAACACAUGCAAGUCGAGCGAGCAUUUCGGUGCUAGCGACGGACGGGUUAGUAACGCGUGGGAACGUGCCCUUUGCUACGGAAUAGUCCUGGGAAACUGGGGGUAAUACCGUAUGUGCCCUUCGGGGGAAAGAUUUAUCGGCAAAGGAUCGGCCCGCGUUGGAUUAGGUAGUUGGUGGGGUAAUGGCCUACCAAGCCGACGAUCCAUAGCUGGUUUGAGAGGAUGAUCAGCAACACUGGGACUGAGACACGGCCCAGACUCCUACGGGAGGCAGCAGUGGGGAAUCUUAGACAAUGGGCGCAAGCCUGAUCUAGCCAUGCCGCGUGGACGAUGAAGGCCUUAGGGUUGUAAAGUUCUUUCAGCUGGGAAGAUAAUGACGGUACCAGCAGAAGAAGCCCCGGCUAACUCCGUG